UAAGUGCCUAACCAAUGUUCCCUUAUUGAUACCAUAAUUCAAUAAUCAAACCAAAACCACAUUUCGUACCAAAAUAAUUUGCAUUCAAAGUUCACAAGUUCAUACAUUAACACAUGCCAAACUUACCAUUUCAUCCAAUCCAUUCAUAUCUACUUCUACCAUAACCUAUUCAUUCACAAAUAGUAUAAACCAAAAUGACCAAAC
This 204-nucleotide long non-coding RNA is filed under the name Gossypium raimondii (Peruvian cotton). Its description in RNAcentral is "long non-coding RNA (GRAI_LNC001601)". The record is from RNAcentral. Lineage: Eukaryota; Viridiplantae; Streptophyta; Magnoliopsida; Malvales; Malvaceae.